AACUCCUGACCUCGGGUGAUCCACCUGCGUCGGCCUCCCAAAGUGUUGGGAUUAUAGGCAUGAGCCACCACACUGGCCCUGAAUGUUCUUUAGACUCGAAUCCAGUGGUUCUCAAACUUUAGGGUCCAUCAGAAUCACCUAGAAGGUGUGUUAAGCUUCAAACUGCCAGGCCCCACUCUCCCAGAGUUUCUGAUUCGCUAGGUUUGGUCUGGGCUAUGCUUACCUAUCUUGCCUAUUUUCUAUCCUGUCUUUCUCUUUGUCCUGACUCUAUUUCCCUUGGUUUGUACUGUAUCCAUUGUGGAAAGAGGAGGAGAUAAAUAAGUGAGCAAAUAAAUAAGAUCACGAGCAUUAAUUUGACCUGCCUUUCCUGGAGCUCUACCGUGAGAUUCUUCGGACACUAGACUCACAGCAGAAUUUGUUGUUAGGUCUCCAUAACCCUGCCAGGGCAGUUGUUCCCAUGUGUUCUAAGACAAACCAUCAAAGGUGUUGCCAGUAGUAUAGUAGCAGGAUAUUUUACCUCAAUUAGUGAUUAUGUUGUGUAUAUCUUUCCAUGUCACCCCUCCUCCCCCUCCUCAAGAUUUCAUGGAAAUCUGUAUUUGAAUAGAACUCUGAGUAUCAUGACUACAGGCACAAGCUGACAUUCACUAGGGAUGUCAUUCUGUUUUGUUUUGUUUUUUUGAGACAGAGCCUCUCUCUGUUGCCCAGGCCGGAGUGAACUGGCAUGAUCUAGGCUCACUGCAACCUCCGCCUCCCAGGUUCAAGUGAUUCUCCUGCCUCGGCCUCCCGAGUAGCUGGAGAUGUGUGCCACCAUGCCCGGCCGAUUUUUGUAUUUUUAGUAGAGAUGGGGUUUCACCAUGUUGUCCAGGCUGGUCCUGAACUCCUGACCUCAGGUGAUCACCUGCCUCAGCCCUCCAAAGUGCUGGGAUUACAGGCAUGAGCCACUGCGGUAGGCUGGGAUGGCAUUCUGAUUCCUGAUUUCCCUGGUCAGAAGUCUUUGUUCCUGGAUUUAUUCUCAUGUUACCUUGCGUCUCUGUGGAAGCAUUUAUUUGCCAUAUUCUGCAAACAUGUUGUCCCCAGAUAGAUUGAAUGCUACCCGAAGGUUUGUCACAGUGCUGUGCACAAAGCGGGACUUCAAGUGUUAUGGAGGCCUGGAAAGCCAGGUACAAUGGCUCACCCAGCACUUUGGGAGGCCGAGGCGAGCGGAUCGCAUGAGGCCAGGAGCUCGAGACCAGCCUGGUCAACGUAGUGAAACCCUGUCUCUGCUAAAAAUACAAAAAUGAGCCAGGCGUGGUGGCGCGUGCCCGUAGUCCCAGCUACUCUGGAGGCUGAGGCAGGAGAAUCGCCUGAACCCGGGAGGCGGAGGUUGCAGAGAGCCGAAAUCAAGCCACUGCACUCCAGCCUGGGCGAUAGAACUAGACCCCAACUGAAUAAAUAAAUACAAUAAAGCAAAAGCGUUCUGGGUUGUUUGUGUUUAAUUAUACUAAGGAGAUUUGAUAGGAAGGAGCACAAUAAAUGUCAUGGUGAUUAUUUGGUUUAUUGUAAUACAAUAAAUGAAAUACAAUAAAAGGUUUAACAAACCUUUUCAUAAAGUUGCUUUGGUUGUUAAAAAAGUUUAGACCUUUCCUGCCAUUUUUCUUUUUUUAAGUAAAUCAUUCUAACUUCCUAAAAGUAUAGCUCAAAAAGGUGGGGGCCCAGGGGAGAGGCCAGCAGCGAAGGCAUUAUUGGGAUCUUAUUUGCCCCAAGAUCACGCAGAGAUGACUUAUUCAGUUUGUAGAUUAUAUAAACGGAAGAGGGAAUUAAUAGUUACUGAAUCUACCAUGAGUCAGAUACAAACUUUCUCAUACAAUCCUCAUGGUAAUCCAACAAGGUUAGAAAUUGGGAACAGAAGAGAGGGCGGGGAACUGAGCUCGGGUUUCAGGCUAGCAGCAGACAAGCAGGAAGCGGAACGAAGAAUGAUUUCUAAGCGCAGUUCCACAGCCCACUCACCUCGUCGGCUGGGGCCACCUGCUCUGGGAGUUUCGAUUUCCCUUCCCGCGACUGCACCUGCACAGACAUGGGCAACGCCUUACCAGAGCAACACCUGUGUUUGUUUGGCGGGAAUGAACCUUGCACUCGGCAGGGCUCAGGGCCCAUCGCGUGCAGCGAAGCGCGGGUGAUUUAAACCCAAGCAGCCGGCGCCUAGAAUCCGACCGGAUGCUCCUUAACUUUGGCCCCGGUCUCCGGACUCCUCUGAUUGGACGUGGCUUCGUUCGGCCGCCCAAUGGCGAGGCAGCGCGAGGCUUCCCGGAAGUGGUGGCGCGGUCAGGGCUGGCCUUGGCUUCAGCUGCGGUUUUGGGGUUCAGGACGCUGGGAUCGGCGGCGCUAUGAGUUCUUUCGAGGGGCAGAUGGCCGAGUAUCCAACUAUCUCCAUAGACCGCUUCGACAGGGAGAACCUGAGGGCCCGCCCCUACUUCCUGUCCCACUGCCACAAAGGUCACAUGAAAGGAUUAAGAGCCCCUACCUUGAAAAGAAGGUUGGAGUGCAGAUGAGGAAACUGAGGAACCAGAGAGGUUAAAUCAGUUGCCCAGUGUCACACAGCCAGUAAGUGGCAGGACCAGGAUUCCAGCCAGACACAUCUGAUCACAUACAAGCGCGUAUUUCCAAGUAACAAUGGUGAGGGACCACUGUUGGAGGAGGUCCAGGGACACCGUGUUUCCACCCCCACCUUGUGCUCUUGGUGGCACUGAAAUGGUGCGCAUAGCUUGGAGGUUUAUCUAUACUGUUCACCUGUGACUAAGGAGUUGUUGUUAACGAGCCGGAAAUACAGAUUUUGGAAGAAACAAAUUAUAUCUAUUGAAAUCGAGACUCCUACCCAGAUAUCUUUAGUGGAUGAAGCAUCAGGAGAGGUUUUUAUUUCAGGGCAAUAAUGGAACUAUCUUGUACACAGGAGACUUCAGAUUGGUGCAAGGAGAAGCUGCUAGAAUGGAGCUUCUGUACUCCGGGGGCAGAGUCAAAGACAUCCAAAGUGUAUAUUUAGAUACUAUGUUGUGUGAUCCAAGAUUUUACCAAAUUCCAAGUCGGGAGGAGUGUUUAAGUGGAGUCUUAGAGCUGGUUCAAAGCUGGAUCACUCGGAGCCUGUACCGUGUUGUGUGGCUGAACUGCAAAGCGGCUUAUGGCUAUGGAUAUUUGUUCACCAACCUUAGUGAAGAAUUAGGAGUCCAGAUUCAUGUCAAUAAGCUAGACAUGUUUAGGAACAUGCCUGAGAUCCUUCAUCAUCUCACAACAGACCACAACACUCAGAUCCAUGCAUGCUGGCACCCCAAGGUACAUGUGUGAGUGGCUCGAGACCUCCAGAAGUUUCCCACCAGAGACCUAGGCUGCGUGUUGCUCUGGAGCCCAGAAAUAACUUCCCACCUAUAUGUUCAAAUGAUUUUUCACAUGAGUGCUAAGAAACCUCAUUGGUGGAAAAGCAGCCUUUUCAAGAAAUGGUGUUGGAGAAACUUGAUUUCCACAUGCAGAAGAAUGAAGGUGGACCCUAAGUCACACCAGGUGCAAAAAUUAACACAAACUGGAUCAGAGACCUCACCUCAAGCGCUAAAAGUAUCAUAUGCCUAAAGGAAAACAUUGGCCACGCUUUCGUGACAUCAGAUUGGGCAAUGUUCUCUGGAAUAUGACACCAAAAGCAUAGGCAACAAAAGAAAAUUAGAUUCCUUGGAUUACAUCUAAAUGACAGACACUUUUGUGCAGCAAAAAACACUGCGAACUGGGUGAAAAGAUAACCCAUGUAUUAGGAAAAAUAUUUGCAAAGCAUAUAUCUGAAAAGAGGUUGAUAUCCAUCAUAUAUAAAGAACAGCUAGAACUAAACAACAAGAAACCCAAAGCAUCCCAUCAACAAUGGUCAGAAGACUCGAGUAGACAUGUUCCUAAAGAAGAUAUAGCAAUGGCCAAUAAGCAUCUAAAAUGAUGUUCAAAAUCACUCAUCGUAGGGAAGCGCAAAUCAAACCAAGAAUGUGUUAACAAACAUUAGGAUGGAUGUGAUAAACAAACAGGCAUUGGCGAGACUAAAGGGAAAUAGGAAUGCUCGAAUCUGAUCGGAGGGAAUGUAAAACCGUGAAGGAACGGGGAAAAUAGUAUGGCGUGUACUGGAAAAAUUAGAAACAGAAUGAUCAGAUGUUCCCGCAGUUGCAUUUGUGGGUACCCACCAAAAGGAAUUAGAAGCCAGGAGUGGAAGACAGAUUUGUGUACACCCAUAUUCAUAGCAGCAUUAUUCACAACAGCCAAAAUGUGGAAGCAACCCAAGGGUUCGUGGACAGAUGAAUGAAAAAGCACACUGCAGUUCCUUCAUACAAUGGAAGACUAUUCAGCCUUCAAAAGGCAGGCACUUCUGGCCGGUGCGGUGGCUCACGCCUGUAAUCGCAGCGUCUUGGAAGACCGAGGUGGGCAGAUCACCUGAGGUCAGGAAUUCAAGACCAACCUGGCCAUCUUGGUGAAACCCUGUCUCUACUGAAAAUGCAAAAAAUGAGAUGAGCGUGGUGGCGUGUGCCUAUAGACCCAGCUACUCGGGAGGCUGAGGCACAAGAAUAGCUGGAACCCGGGAAGCGGAGGUUGCAGUGAGCUUAGAUUGUGCCACUGCACUCCAGCCUGUGAGACAGAGUGAGACUCCAUGGAAACACAAAACAAAACAAAACAAAAAAACAGAGAGACACUUCUGAAGCAGGCCGCAACGUGGAUGAACCUUGAAGACAUUAUCGUCAGUGAAAUAAAUAAAUCCCAAAAGGAUAAACAGGCCAAGAUUCAGUGGCUCGCACCUGUAAACUCAGCACUUUGGGAGGCUGAGCCAGGCGGAUCACUUCAGGUCCGGAGUUCGAGACCAGCCUGGCCAAUAUGAUGAAAGCUCGUCUCUAUUAAAAAUACAAAAAUUAGCUGGGCGUGGUGGCGCACGCCUGUAAUCCCAGCUACUCAGGAGACUGAGACACAAGAAUCGCUUGGACCCACGAUGUGGAGGUUUCAGUGAGGUGACAUCAUGCCACUGCACUCCAGCCGGGGUGACAGAGAAAGACUCUGUCUCCAAAACAAAAACAUUAAACACGGUAUGAUUCCACUUUUCUAGGAACUGUCUAGAGUAGUUAAACUCAUAGAGUUGCAAACUAGAAAGGUGGCCCCCAGGGGCAGGCGAGAAAGAGGAGUGGAGAUCUUGGUGAAUGGGUGGAAUUUCCAUUUUGAAAGAUAAAACUGUUCCGGAGACGAUGACGGUGAUGGUUGCUAAACAGUGUGAAUGUACUUAAUGUCAUGAAACUGUAAACUGUAAAAGCGUGGAAACUGUAAGUGUUUAUACUGGCCAUUCUAUAUGAACUAAUAUAUAUUUUAAUUUUUAAUAUUUUACGUGGUAAAUUUUCCCAUAAUAAAAGAUGAAAAUUAAAGCAGUUGGAUGUUUAAAAAGAAAAUAAAGAAGCGAAGAAUACCCAGCAGCUUUCUCCUGAUUAGAGGAAGAGCCCCAAAACUUCUACGGACACUCACUUUUCUCUUCUUGCAUUAUUAUGAGGACAUCCUUAGAGGUUGGGGAACUUGGGUGACUUUGGCUAAUGAGGAGCUCUGUGCCUUGAGCCCCCCAGGCCACAGAAUAGUAAGUAGUCAGUCUGUGCCUCCAGCCCUGCAGUGUGAGGAUCCAGUCCUGUGGGCUCCACUCCCGUCACCUGUAUCAGGGGGCUCACGUCUCACACUGUCUUCCUGUCAGCCUUGAGGACGGAGUCUGAGCCUCCAUAGUGCAUCACGCAGGGAGGACAGUGGACCUGUUCUCCGUGGUCAUGGCCCAGCAGAGGGGAAGGGCAGUUCAGUGAGUGUAGGGAAAAGAAAGAGAGAUCAGACUCUUACUAUGUCUAUGUAGAAAGGAAAGACAUAAGAGACUCCAUUUGGACAAAGACCUGUACUUUCAACAAUUGCUUUGCUGAGAUGUUGUUAAUGUGGAGCUUUGCCACAGCCACUUUGACCCAACCUGAAGCUCACAAAAACAUGUGUUGUAUGAAAUCAAGGUUUAAGGGAUCUAGGGCUGUGCAGGACUUACCUUGUUAACAAGAUGUUUCCACGCAGUAUACUUGGUAAAAGUCAUCGCCAUUCUCUAGUCUCAAUAAACCAGGGGCACGAUACACUGUGGAAAGCCGCAGGCAGCCCUACCCUUGAAAGCGGCGUAUUGUCCAAGGUUUCUCCCCAUGUGAUAGUCUGAAAAGUGGCCUCCUGGGAGGAGAAGGACCUGACGGUCCCCGAGCCCGACACCAGUAAAGGGUCUGUGCUGAGGUGGAUUAGUCAAAGAGGAAAGCCUCUUGCAGUUGAGAGAGAGGAAGGCCACUGUCUCCCGCCUGCCCCUGGGAACUGAAUGUCUCGGUAGAAAACCCAAUUGUACAUUUGUUCAAUUCUGAGAUGGGGGAAAAACCGCCCUAUGGUGGGAGGUGAGACAUGUUUGCAGUAAUGCUGCCUUGUUAUUCUUUACUCCACUGAGAUGUUUGGGUGGAGAGAAACAUAAAUCUGGGUUACAUACACGUCCAGUCAUAGUACCUUCCCUUGAAUUUCAUUAUGACAUAGCUUCUAUUGCUCACAUGCUCGUUGCUGACCUUCUCCUUAUUAUCACCCUGCCCUCCUACUACAUUCCUUUUUGCUAAAAUAAUAAAAAUAAUAAUCAGUAAAAACUGGGGGAACUCAGAGGCCGGUGCCUGUGCAGAUCCUCGGUAUGCUGAGCGCCGCUCCCGUGGGCUCACUGUUGUUUCUCUGUACUUUGUCUCUGUGUCUUAUUUCUUUCCUCAGUCUCUCAUUCCACCCGACUAGAAAUACCCACAGGUGUGGAGGGGCAGGCCACCCCUUCAAGUGAGUGCUGAGGGACAGUCGGGAGGCUUGUUUGAUUUCCUUCUCCUCAGGACAAACAGGAGAGUGCGGUGGGCAGAUGGGAGGAGACCAAUGUGCAAACUGUCCACUCAGCAGACGGUGCAGUUUCUGUUCUUGGUUGUGCUGGGGGUCUCAGAAAUCUUAUACAAAAUUUUGCUUUCCUCCUCCACUGGUUGUCCUUUUCAUAGACAUCUCACCCAUGAUAGCAGAGAAUCAGUCCCUCUAAACUAUUCCCUAAGAACAACAAAAAGAUUAUGAAGAUGAUGAUGAGGAUAAAGAGGAUGACGACAGACACCAUGGCAUCAUGAACCCUUCCUGAGGGCUUCCUAAAGGCCAGGCUCUGAGCUCUGUGCUCUAUGCAGCUUGUUUCAUUUCAUCUGCCUAGUCUCCACAUUAUUAGUGCACAUUUCAGGAUGAUUUUACAAACUAGAAAAGGAGCAACGCCUUUUCAUAUAACUCGUACUAGAUCAUGAAGUCAAAAAGGGUGAAGUCCAACUUGAACCAAUCAGUCUAAGUCCAGACACAUGACAUUUGGCCAGUCCUCUCCCUGCAACUAACCUGCCCUCUCAAAUCCUCAUCACUCUGGCGGAUGCCCCUGCUCACUGUGACCUUCCCUUUGGGGGUUCCUUGGAGACCACAGCUAGACCAAUGGGUGCCACAAUCACUGCGUCAAAUAUGGAAAGGGCAGCUGAGAUCACAUCGACGAUUCCAGAAAGAAUUGGCACAGGAUCAUUCGGAAGGCAUCUCUCCCUUGCCCCUGUUCCUGGCUUUCCGUACAGCUCUCGACUUCCUCAAAGGAGUCAUCAAUUCGGAGGUUGGCUUCCAUUCCUAUUGAGGAAGCUGGAAAGCGUUUCCAAAAUGCUCCUCCGAUGUGCCUGUGGUUAAGACCUCUGAGCUCUGCUUAAAACUUUUGGAAGCUGGGGUCGGUGGCUCAAACCUGUAAUCCCAGCCCUUUGGGAGGCUGAGGCAGGCGAAUCACAAGGUCAGGAAUUCGAGACCAGCCUGGCCAACAUGGUGAAACCAUGUCUCUACUCAAAAGAGAAAAAAAUGAGCCAGGCGUAGUGGCGGGCGCCUGUCAUUUCAGCUACUUGGCAGGCUGAGGCAGUAGAAUAGCUUGAACCUGGGAUGCAGAGGUUGCGGUGAGCCGAGAUCACUCCACUGCACUCCAGCCUGGGCAACGGAACAAGACUCCUUCUCAAAACAACAAAAAGAAAAGCAAAAACCAAAAAAACCCACAACUUUUUGAGAGUUGGAAGACCAGGAAGUAUAGUACCCGGGAUUACGAGUCUGGCCAUGAAUUUUGAAUACCACCCUUUCUACUUCUCUGUGUGGCAAAGGGUGAGAUGUCCAUCCUCUGAGACUCAGCACUCUCAUCUGACUUGAUUUCCAGUUGAUCCGAUGGAAGCGAGUGAUGAUUAAGCCGAUCGUGGGUGCCCCCUGCGUGAUCUCUAGGUGACGGAUGCAUAAAGUAAAGGCAAAGUGAAUUUUAGAUACAUUCCUUAAGAUUUUCAGCUUCAACUCCACAUAAUUCAACCGAUAUAUCCCCUGACCUGAAGUUCUGCUUUCCCUGCAUUCCAGACAGGACAUUAUGUUUUUUCCUUCUCUCAGUGAGGACUGAGUACCGUGAGAGGAACAAGUGAGUCUCUUUGGUUUCUGAUUCCACAGAGCCUAUAUCUUGCUUGGCACAUAGGAGAUAGCAAAAGUCAAAUAUAUGUUAAUGAUUGAAUUGACACUUCCUUGCUUCACCAAAAUUGGCUGUCAUCAGCUUGACUUUGACUAACUUGAUUCUUUUUGUUUUUUGUUUUUUGAGACGGAGUUUUGCUCUCGUUGCCCAGGCUGGCGUACAGUGGUGUGAUUUCGGCUCACUGUAGUCUCUGCCUCCCAGGUUCAAGCCAUUCUCCUGCCUCAGCCUCCCGAGUAGCUGGGACUACAGGCGUGCGCCGCCAUACCGGGCGAAUAUUUUGUAUUUUUAGUAGAAGCAGGGUUUCACCAUGUUGGCCAGGAUGGUCUUGAUCUCCUGACCCCGUGACCCGCCCUCCUCGGCCUCCCAAAGUGCUUGGAUUACCGGCGUGAGCCACCGCGUCCGGCCAAACUUUCUGAUGAAAACUCUAAGUCCACCGAAGCUAAGGACAGGAGUUAGAGCUUCCAUGAAUUUUAAAACAAGACCCACCGAUUUGAGUAAGCAAUUACUCUCUCCAAGGAGAAAAGUCCGAAAACACAAUGAUGAAAUCACUAGGACCUAACUGGCAUGUAGAACUAUUUUCUGCUUAUGAGCUAUCAACUUUCCUUUCCUUUCCAGAUGGCAUGGUCUCAGCUGUUAUACAGUGUUUACAAAUGUUGUAAAUCAAGGGAAUUUGUAUCAAUCUAGUAGAAUAAAUAAAAUAUUUGAGUUCUUAA
Pan troglodytes (chimpanzee) is the source of this 9249-nucleotide RNA transcript. It is a transcript of the gene named protein artemis, with no coding region annotated. The record is from RefSeq and is a predicted model, not a curated record. The transcript is spliced from 11 exons. Lineage: Eukaryota; Metazoa; Chordata; Mammalia; Primates; Hominidae.